This is a long non-coding RNA of Passer montanus (Eurasian tree sparrow), 455 nucleotides long. RefSeq lists it as uncharacterized. The record is from RefSeq and is a predicted model, not a curated record. Lineage: Eukaryota; Metazoa; Chordata; Aves; Passeriformes; Passeridae. The transcript has 3 exons.
CGGGGCUGCACAGAGCUCUCUGUGCUCAGGCACCUGCACAGCCCAGCUCAGCCAGCUCUGCCCUGCCUGCAGACACACAAAUGGCAUUUUUGGGGCAUCCCUGGGACUCGUUUGCACGGCUGCCACGAGAACUUUGCAGUUCUUACAAAGAUGUUCCACUCAGCCUUUCUGCAUUGAUUUACUGGACCUGAGCAAGAGGCAAUAUUGAAGACCCACCUGCUCUGAAAUUUCCUCCUUCCUCCUGAGAGAAAGCUCCAGGAACGAGCCUUUGGGGUGGACCUUGUCCCUGCACAGGACACCGGGGUCAGCUCUGGGGACAACUGAGCUGCAGGGCCAUGGAGCUGGGGCUGGUGGCAGGAAGGUGGCACAGCAAGGGCUGCUCCAGCCUCACAGAAUUCACAGAGUCACUGGGUUGGAAGAGACCUUCAAGAUCAUUGAGUCCAACCCAGCCCCAA